RNAcentral lists this ribosomal RNA (301 nucleotides) under uncultured bacterium. Its description in RNAcentral is "partial 16S ribosomal RNA". It matches the Rfam family "Bacterial small subunit ribosomal RNA", at positions 509 to 807 of the family's 1533-position model. The record is from RNAcentral.
CAGUCGCCGCGGGAAUACGAAGGGUGCAAGCGUUACUCGGAAUUACUGGGCGUAAGGCGUAUGUAGGUGGUUGUUUAAGUCUGUCGUGAAAGCCCUGGGCUCAGCCUGGGAAUUGCGAUGGAUACUGGGCGACUAGAGUGCGGUAGAGGAUAGUGGAAUUUCCGGUGUAGCAGUGAAAUGCGUAGAGAUCGGAAGGAACAUCUGUGGCGAAGGCGACUAUCUGGGCCAACACUGACACUGAGACACGAAAGCGUGGGGAGCAAACAGGAUUAGAUACCCGCGUAGUCCCUGUCUCUUAUAC